Molecule: ribosomal RNA, 544 nt
Filed under: uncultured Chloroflexota bacterium
Lineage: Bacteria; Bacillati; Chloroflexota
Description: bacterial SSU rRNA
Rfam family: Bacterial small subunit ribosomal RNA
Source: RNAcentral
CAAGGAGUUUUCCGCAAUGGGCGCAAGCCUGACGGAGCAACGCCGCGUGGGGGAUGACACCUUUCGGGGCGUAAACCCCUUUUCUUGGGGACGAAGCAGUGACGGUACCCGAGGAAGAAGGCCCGGCUAACUACGUGCCAGCAGCCGCGGUAAUACGUAGGGGCCGAGCGUUGUCCGGAGUUACUGGGCGUAAAGCGCGCGCAGGCGGCUCGUCAAGCCUGACGUGAAAGCCCCCGGCUCAACCGGGGAGGGUCGUCGGGGACUGGCGGGCUCGAGGUCGGCAGGGGUUGGUGGAAUUCCCGGUGUAGUGGUGAAAUGCGUAGAGAUCGGGAGGAACACCCGUGGCGAAGGCGGCCAACUGGGCCGGACCUGACGCUGAGGCGCGAAGGCGUGGGGGAGCGAACGGGAUUAGAUACCCCGGUAGUCCACGCAGUAAACGAUGCAGACUAGGCGUGGGGGGACGUUGACCCCCUCCGUGCCGGAAGCCAACGCGUGAAGUCUGCCGCCGUGGGGAGUACGGCCGCAAGGCUAAAACUCAAAGAAA